GUGGGGAAUCUUCCGCAAUGGACGAAAGUCUGACGGAGCGACGCCGCGUGAGUGAUGAAGGCCUUCGGGUCGUAAAGCUCUGUCAUCGGGGACGAACGGCCUCAGCAGGUAAUGGCUGGGGAUUGACGGUACCCGAGAAGGAAGCCACGGCUAACUACGUGCCAGCAGCCGCGGUAAUACGUAGGUGGCAAGCGUUGUCCGGAAUUAUUGGGCGUAAAGCGCGCGCAGGUGGGAUCUUAAGUCCAUUUUGAAAGUGCGGAGCUCAACUCCGUGAUGGGAUGGAAACUGGGAUUCUUGAGUACCGGAGAGGAAAGCGGAAUUCCCCGUGUAGCGGUGAAAUGCGUAGAUAUGGGGAGGAACACCAGUGGCGAAGGCGGCUUUCUGGACGGUGUCUGACACUGAGGCGCGAAAGCCAGGGGAGCGAACGGGAUUAGAAACCCGUGUAGUCC
Molecule: ribosomal RNA, 449 nt
Filed under: uncultured bacterium
Lineage: Bacteria
Description: partial 16S ribosomal RNA
Rfam family: Bacterial small subunit ribosomal RNA
Source: RNAcentral